This 218-nucleotide long non-coding RNA is filed under the name Populus trichocarpa (black cottonwood). RNAcentral describes it as "long non-coding RNA (PTRI_LNC002439)". The record is from RNAcentral. Lineage: Eukaryota; Viridiplantae; Streptophyta; Magnoliopsida; Malpighiales; Salicaceae.
GAGGGUUUUAAAGAUAAAAGGAGAAGGUUAAAAAUAGAAAAGGGGUUUAAGUUUAAUGUUAAAAAUUUAAGAACUGAUUACUUGCUUUAAAAUCAAACUUAGUUUUUUUUGUUCAUAGUAGUAAAAUAAUAAAUAAAGGAAAGGAAAGAAAGGAUCGAAGUGUAUUAACGAAUUUUGAAGGUUGGAUUUUGAUAUCUGUGUCAGUCGCUAAUUUAUUU